Molecule: transfer-messenger RNA, 385 nt
Filed under: Reinekea blandensis MED297
Lineage: Bacteria; Pseudomonadati; Pseudomonadota; Gammaproteobacteria; Oceanospirillales; Saccharospirillaceae
Also listed under: 1 other name
Rfam family: transfer-messenger RNA
About the family: Bacterial tmRNA, also known as 10Sa RNA or SsrA, is named for its dual tRNA and mRNA-like properties. Its role is to liberate the mRNA from a stalled ribosome.
Source: Rfam by way of RNAcentral
GGGGGCGAUCUGGCUUCGACGUGGAUUACAAAGCUCCAGGUGCAUGUCGUGUUGGUAGCGAAACACGUAAAACCAAAGCUGCAAACUUAUAGUUGCAAACGAUGACAACUACGAAGGUUACGCACUAGCUGCAUAAUCCUUCAUAACUGGGUCAAUAGCACCCGGCGGUCACUGAGCUGAGCCUGAUCGGCUCUACUGACUGUCAAAUAAUUCAGGAUACGCAUGAAGGUCGUCAGGGCCGGAUUGCCGACAAUUUGAAUCCCUGACUCCCCGAGUCGCACCUGUCCUUCGGUAACGGCAAGGGUAAAUCAAAGAAGUGACUAAACAUGUAGGACCGCGAGUGGCGGAUUUGCGGACGCGGGUUCGAUUCCCGCCGCCUCCACCA